GAUGAACGCUGGCGGCGUGCCUAAUACAUGCAAGUCGAACGCAUUGUGGUUGAAAUGAUAUGAAGAACUUGUUCAGAUUUGAUUUUCAACAUUGCAAUGAGUGGCGAACGGGUGAGUAACACGUGGGAAACCUACCUCUUAGCAGGGGAUAACAUUUGGAAACAAAUGCUAAUACCGUAUAAUAAUUAAAACCGCAUGGUUUUAGUUUAAAAGAUGGUCUUGCUAUCACUAAGAGAUGGUCCCGCGGUGUAUUAGUUAGUUGGUGAGGUAAUGGCUCACCAAGACAAUGAUACAUAGCCGAGUUGAGAGACUGACCGGCCACAAUGGGACUGAGACACGGCCCAUACUCCUACGGGAGGCAGCAGUAGGGAAUCUUCCACAAUGGACGAAAGUCUGAUGGAGCAACGCCGCGUGUGUGAUGAAGGGUUUCGGCUCGUAAACACUGUUGUAAGAGAAGAAUGACAUUGAGAGUAACUGUUCAAUGUGUGACGGUAUCUUAACC
This 502-nucleotide ribosomal RNA is filed under the name uncultured bacterium. Its description in RNAcentral is "bacterial SSU rRNA". It matches the Rfam family "Bacterial small subunit ribosomal RNA", at positions 28 to 485 of the family's 1533-position model. The record is from RNAcentral.